GGAACUUAACCAACUUAGCUUCGUUGGACCUUUCUCACAAUAACAUUACUGGAGCUAUACCCCUUGGCUUUGGGAAUCUCUCUUGUUUAGAAUACCUUCAUCUUUCUAACAACCUUCUUACUGGAGCUAUACCCCUUGGCUUUGGGAAUCUCUCUUGUUUAGAAUACCUUCAUCUUUCUAACAACCUUCUUACUGGAGCUAUACCGCUAGGGUUGGGAAAUUGCACUGCUGUUUAUCUCUCCAAUAACAAUCUUAGUGGACCUAUACAACUAGGGAUAGAGACUUGCACUAGAUUACAGUACCUUGACCUUUCUUACAAUAGCAUUACUGGACCUAUACCACCAAUGUUGGGGAAUUGCACCGAACUAUAUUACCUUACUCUUUCAAACAACCUUCUUACCGGAGAUAUACCACCAGG
This 418-nucleotide long non-coding RNA is filed under the name Triticum aestivum (bread wheat). RNAcentral describes it as "long non-coding RNA (TAES_LNC012817)". The record is from RNAcentral. Lineage: Eukaryota; Viridiplantae; Streptophyta; Magnoliopsida; Poales; Poaceae.